ACUGUCUCCUCCCGAGACUCAGCGAAGUUGAAGUGGUUGUGAAGAUGCAAUCUACCCGCUGCUAGACGGAAAGACCCCGUGAACCUUUACUGUAGCUUUGCAUUGGACUUUGAAGGCACUUGUGUAGGAUAGGUGGGAGGCUUUGAAGCAGAGACGCCAGUCUCUGUGGAGCCGUCCUUGAAAUACCACCCUGGUGUCUUUGAGGUUCUAACCCAGACCCGUAAUCCGGGUCGGGGACCGUGCAUGGUAGGCAGUUUGACUGGGGCGGUCUCCUCCCAAAGAGUAACGGAGGAGUUCGAAGGUUACCUAGGUCCGGUCGGAAAUCGGACUGAUAGUGCAAUGGCAAAAGGUAGCUUAACUGCGAGACCGACAAGUCGAGCAGGUGCGAAAGCAGGACAUAGUGAUCCGGUGGUUCUGUAUGGAAGGGCCAUCGCUCAACGGAUAAAAGGUACUCCGGGGAUAACAGGCUGAUUCCGCCCAAGAGUUCAUAUCGACGGCGGAGUUUGGCACCUCGAUGUCGGCUCAUCACAUCCUGGGGCUGUAGUCGGUCCCAAGGGUAUGGCUGUUCGCCAUUUAAAGUGGUACGUGAGCUGGGUUUAAAACGUCGUGAGACAGUUUGGUCCCUAUCUGCAGUGGGCGUUGGAAGUUUGACGGGGGCUGCUCCUAGUACGAGAGGACCGGAGUGGACGAACCUCUGGUGUACCGGUUGUAACGCCAGUUGCAUAGCCGGGUAGCUAAGUUCGGAAGAGAUAAGCGCUGAAAGCAUCUAAGCGCGAAACUCGCCUGAAGAUGAGACUUCCCUUGUGGUUUAACCACACUAAAGAGUCGUUCGAGACCAGGACGUUGAUAGGUGGGGUGUGGAAGCGCGGUAACGCGUGAAGCUAACCCAUACUAAUUGCUCGUGAGGCUUGACUCU
This 916-nucleotide ribosomal RNA is filed under the name human gut metagenome. RNAcentral's name for it is "bacterial LSU rRNA". It matches the Rfam family "Bacterial large subunit ribosomal RNA", at positions 2015 to 2925 of the family's 2925-position model. The record is from RNAcentral.